CUCUGCAGGUGACAGCCUGGGCGAGGGAACAGAGACAGCUCUGCACACAUGCUGAUGGGAUUGCAAUACACAAUUGUGACAGCUGCAAGCACCUUCAAAAUAAAGGCAAAGUUCCAGCUGAGUGUGAUGUUCAGACUCCAGCUCCAGCAUUAAGGUAUGUGAAGAAUUCAUUCAACCUACUACUGCAUCUUGUUGAACAAAGAUGAUUUGUUUUCAUGCCCAUAGUUCCUGGACAAACCUUUGGCUAUACCUAACCAAAGACCUGCCUAAACCCAGAUGCAACACUGUGGGAAGUCAUGCCACAGUGACAUUAAAGAAGGCAUCACAAGGAGCCAGCUUUGUGGCUUCAGACAGAUGGAUCAACUGGGAAUCCUAGGCAAGGAUGACCAGAAGGCUUCUGCACAGAAGAAGCUAAAGGGAGGCACUCUAACACAGUGAAUUUAGCCAUCACUAACACUUAUCGAGUGCAUCACUAGGAAAAAACCCCAAAGGUAGCUGUAAUUCCAGUCUCUGCACUCCCUGUCUUCUAAGAACUUCCAAAGGCAGCUUGAAUUCUUCACCCUGAUGCUGGCAUGCUCAGAGUGACAUUGGAAGCCACUGCUGGCAGUCGCUGCUAUCUCAGCCCCAGCUCCCCACGCUGGCAGCAGCAGGAACGGCUGUAACUGGAUCCGUCCCAGCCCGGAGAGCCCGGGCAGCCCCACUCCCAGCCCCACUGCACAGCGGAUUUCUGCCCUGCACACUAACUAUAGACUUGAUGAAACAUUAUCAUACAUGAAGGACUAAUUAGGUGUGCUGGGCCAUUAGCCAUCUCUGAACAUUGACUGAUGAAAAACGUAAUUAAUGGCAGCUUUCAUAAACAGACUGCAGAAUGGAGAAUUGAAUUAAAAGGAAAACAGCUGUUGCUAAUGGAAAUAAGGGCCAUUUCUUGAUUAAAAUAUCUGCCUGUCUUUCCGUGGGAGUUUUUCCAGAGUGGUGGGCUGGAAGAGUGUAACGAGAUCUGGGAGCAGAGAAUCUGCAAAGCUUCCUGCUGAAGAAAGUGCAACUUCUCUGGCUGAUGUUUUUCUGGAAUUCCCUAGAUUCCACAAUCUGCUGUUAAAAUGCUGGUACAGUCAGAUCAAUAUGAAAAGCCAGUUUGUUCAAGAGCAGUUUUUCAGGCAGAGUUACAGAAUAUCAGCUGUUUGAACCCAGAGAAAAUAACAGCUCUCCUCUGUUUAUGUUUCCAAUGGGUGCAUUCAGAUUAUAGCUCAUCAAAAUGAAGAUAUUAUGGGCAACUAUGUCUCAUUUUCUUGCGAGGAAGCUGGAAUACCAAGAGCUGGUUGAGAAACCAAGGGACUGAAUUUUAAAAGUAGCACAGGCAGUUCUUCUUCCCAUCUCCCUGCCCUGCAGCACCAUCUACAGAGAUGCUGUCAGAAUCACACUCACUGCAAACCUCGGGAAGCUCCGGUUCCCCGGACAAACAAACCUGGCUCAGUGAUUAACCUGCUCAGGAAAGUGAGAGUUAGACAGCCCUAAAACCUGAAAUCCUUCUGCAGCAAAAUGAAGGCAAGAAUAUGAUCAAUUUUCCCAGGAGCUCCUCAGUCCCUGUGCAGAGAAUGCACCUCCAGCAAUGACAGAGGUAACCCAGACACUUUGCUGGUUUUUUUCUCCGGAAACUUUCCUGCAGAAGAACUUCUCUGGCAGAGAAGUGUUCAAUCUGCAAAAGGAUGGUGGGAUUUUUCAGGGCAAAAUGCACUUCACGGUCCAUUAAUCCUGAAUUUGGCACAAGCUGAUUGCUCAGGCUUCAAAAGAGUGCAAUAUUUCACCUCCUCCGUGUAUCUACUCAAUUACACAAGAUAAAACAGGGGAUUGACCUUCAUCUGAUCACUGGAGCAGAAGUUCUGCUUGCCCUUCACAUGGCCUGGGCACCCAAACAGUGAUACAAGGACAGGACCAGAGUGAAGGAGUUUCUAAGCACAAGCAAAGGAGUUUGCAAUUUAAAAGCUGGAGUUUGAAAUAUGUCUCUGAUUAACUUGCCAUUAAAAAAAAAAAAAGUAUGCUUAUCUAUUCACCUCGAAAUAGAAUGUUCUUCUGAAUAUGGAGUGUUUUUUUCCACCAGAAGCCAGAUCCAAAUGCCACAGUAGUAACUGGAAAGUUCCCCACCAGGCCCUGGCUGUGGGAGGAGGUGGGUGCAGGAAUGUGCCAGUGCAGGCAGCAUUGCUGUCUCCUGCCUCUCUGGGAGCAGCAGCAGAGAACAGGCAUUAAAAAAGAGAUAAAAUGCAAAGGAAGACACAGGCUCCAAACCUAGAGCAGUGGGCUUAGGCACAGGCAUGCAACAGCCCUGAACACUGCCAGGACACACUGAGGAGUUGUAUUUAGGGAUGUGUGCUGUCUUAGAGGGGAAAAUAUGAUCUGGGUUUUUUAUGAUCAGAUCAAGUCCAACAGUCUAAUGUGGUUGUUUGCCUUUGCCAUGUCUGUAGGGAGGACACACCAGGACCCAAUUCCUCUGAUGGUUGAGCAUAUUCUCUUAUUUCCAGCCUAUAUUUAUUGAUUACCAGGCAGAGCAGAACUACCAGCUCUUAUCUGUUAUGAAAACCUUCCAGAGUCAUCAGGUUAGUCCAGCACUGUCCACCUUCAGUAAGUAAAUCCAUGCUGCCUUUUUGGCCAGUUCUCCCUUCCAUCAUGUCUGCUAUUAUUAUUUCUUGCUAAAUUUAUCCCAAAGUCUUGUAUUUUAUUUGGAUCAGACUUCAAUCAUUUUUCCUCUUUUUAAAAGCUGGAAGAAUUUUUCCAGUUCUCAAACUGUGUUGUGUUGCUCAUGCAGGGAUGCUGUUACAGAGCCAGAUAGAAAGUGCUCUUGGAUGUCUGAGUCAGAAAUUAGAAUAUUCCAGCUGAAAGGUGCCUGUAACGAUCAUUUAGCCCAAAUCAUUGUCGCAUUAUGAUCUUGAUGAUUUGUUCCACUUGCAUGAGGUAAUUUCUGUCUCCAUGCAUUCAUUUCCUCUGUGUACAUUUCCACUACAUAUUAUACAUUCAUUUGUGUCCUGCCUCCCCCCCUUUCACCACCUCUCCCCCUCCUCUCCUUCCUCCCCUGCUACGUAUGCCUGAAGAACAUUUUGCUAUUUGUUUUAAUUUCCUUUGCUAGAUCUACCUUAGCUUUCCUUCUGGCACCUUUCCCUUUAUGCCCACACUUCCCAACUUCUAAGACGUAGUUUUCUUUGAUUAAUCCUUUUUUCCAUUCCUUCCACUCCCUUUGCUUAUUCCUAAUAUCCACUUUGAAGUGGUUAUUCACCAAGUCUGGACCCAUUCCUUGCAGAGUUUUAUCCCUCUGUGUACAAGUCCCAAAUACUUUUAUAGCCCCUGCCUAAAUUCCAAGCCUGCCCAACAUCCAAAACUUCUUUUAAGUUGGCAAAAUUCAGAAAGCAAAAUAUGCUAAUUGCUGCUGUGUACCAACUUCCAGCACAUUGGGGUUCCUACUGGGUUCAUGUUCUCCAUCCAAAUGAGAUAUUCCAAAAGGUUUUUUCUAAAAGAUCACGGUGAGACCACUAAUGGCAGGAGAAAUUUCUCUUGACCUCCAGCCACAGCAGCAGUGCCAAGAGAAGGCAGGAAGGUCAUUAGCUGUUCUCAUAGUAUAAAAAUUGUUACAGUAGAUUAAAAAUUAGCAUGAAGAAAUGAAGCACACACAUAUAUUUUUAAAGGCUCUGUCAGGCAGCCAAAGUGAAAGCAGAUUUCAGCAGACCACGAAGAAUGAGCUGCGUGCGUUAGGCCUUGCGUGGCUGGAGUUUAUUUCCUUGCUAAAUUCCAAGUUUCAGGUCUCUCCCGCUGAGGCAGAAGGGCUGCUCAAGAAAACUCCCCAAAUACCUUAAAUUAGCAGAGGGAAUUUUCCCCCCCUAUUUUUCACGGUACAAGUUUGCCCAGGCUGUUCAAUA
This is a long non-coding RNA of Haemorhous mexicanus (house finch), 3899 nucleotides long. RefSeq lists it as uncharacterized. The record is from RefSeq and is a predicted model, not a curated record. The transcript has 3 exons. NCBI's taxonomy places the organism in Eukaryota, Metazoa, Chordata, Aves, Passeriformes, Fringillidae.